This is a long non-coding RNA of Cyprinus carpio carpio, 1092 nucleotides long. The record is from Ensembl. Lineage: Eukaryota; Metazoa; Chordata; Actinopteri; Cypriniformes; Cyprinidae.
UUCUAACAUGGUUUAAAGUGGUUUUGGCCACUGUCACGCUGGCCUUACCUGGUCUUAGCUGGUUUUCUUUACUGAAUCAACUGGUUUUAGCUGGUUUAGUAUAGAAAAAUGAAAACAACAUGCUAGUUACUCACUAAUCAGACUAGAAACAUGCUUUUAACAUGGUUUUAAAGUGGUUUUGGCCACUGUCACGCUGGCCUUAGCUGGUUUUGGCUGGUUUAGUAUAGAAAAAUGAAAACAACAUGCUAGUUACUCACUAAUCAGACUAGAAACAUGCUUUUAACAUGGUUUUAAAGUGGUUUUGGCCACUGUCAUGCUGGCCUUAGGUGGUUUUAGCUGGUUUUAGCUGGUUUUCUUUACUGAAUCAACUGGUUUUAGCUGGAUUAGAAUAGAAAAAUGUUAACAACAUGCUAGUAACUUGCUUAUCAGACUAGAAACAUACUUCUAACAUGGUUUAAAGUGGUUUUGGCCACUGUCACGCUGGCCUUAGCUGGUCUUAGCUGGUUUUCUUUACUGAAUCAACUGGUUUUAGCUAGAUUAUCAUAGAAACAUGUUAACAACAUGUUAGUAACUUGAUAAUCCGGUUAGAAACAUGCUUUUAACAUGCUUUUAACAUGGUUUUAAAGUAGUUUUGGCCACUGUCACGCUGGUCUUAGCUGGUUACUAACUGAAUCAACUAGUUUUACCUGGAUUAACAUAGAAACAUGCUAGUCACUUGCUAAUCAUGCUAAAAAAAUACUAGUCACUUUGCUAAUCAUGAUAACAAAAUGCUAGUCACUUUGUUAAUCAUGCUAAAAACAUGCUAGAAACAUGCUACAAACAUGCUAGUCAUGCUAGCAACAUGCUAGAGACAUGCUAGUCAUGUUAACAGCAUGCUAGUCACUUGCUACUUAUGCUAGCUACAUGCUAAUAAUGCUAACAACAUGCUAGUCUCUUGUUAAUCAUGGUAACAACAUGCUAGUAACUUUGCUAAUCAUGCUUAAAACAUGCUAAUAACAUGCUAGUCACUUGCUAAUCAUGCUAGAAACAUGCUAGCGACAUGCUAGUCACUUGCUAAUCAUGCUAAAAACUUGCUAGUGACAUGCUAGUCAC